RNAcentral lists this ribosomal RNA (87 nucleotides) under Podosphaera xanthii. RNAcentral describes it as "partial 28S ribosomal RNA". It matches the Rfam family "Eukaryotic large subunit ribosomal RNA", at positions 1 to 84 of the family's 3401-position model. The record is from RNAcentral. Lineage: Eukaryota; Fungi; Ascomycota; Leotiomycetes; Helotiales; Erysiphaceae.
GGAUGACCUCGGAUCAGGUAGGGAUACCCGCUGAACUUAAGCAUAUCAAUAAGCGGAGGAAAAGAAACCAACAGGGAUUACCUCAGU